RNAcentral lists this ribosomal RNA (253 nucleotides) under uncultured bacterium. RNAcentral describes it as "partial 16S ribosomal RNA". It matches the Rfam family "Bacterial small subunit ribosomal RNA", at positions 524 to 776 of the family's 1533-position model. The record is from RNAcentral.
UACGUAGGGUGCAAGCGUUGUCCGGAAUUAUUGGGCGUAAAGAGCUCGUAGGCGGCUUGUUGCGUCGACCGUGAAAACCCGGGGCUCAACUUCGGGCUUGCGGUCGAUACGGGCGGGCUAGAGUUCGGUAGGGGAGACUGGAAUUCCAGGUGUAGCGGUGAAAUGCGUAGAUAUCUGGAGGAACACCGGUGGCGAAGGCGGCGUCCUGGACCAACACUGACACUGAUGAGCGAAAGCCAGGGGAGCAAACGGG